This 502-nucleotide ribosomal RNA is filed under the name uncultured bacterium. RNAcentral's name for it is "partial 16S ribosomal RNA". It matches the Rfam family "Bacterial small subunit ribosomal RNA", at positions 28 to 523 of the family's 1533-position model. The record is from RNAcentral.
GUUGAACGCUAGCGGCAGGCCUAACACAUGCAAGUCGAGGGGCAGCACAGAAACAGCAAUGUUUUGGUGGCGGCCGGCGGACGGGUGCGUAACGCGUAUGCAACCUACCUUUAACAGGGGGAUAACGGAGAGAAAUUCCCACUAAUACCCCAUAACAUCGAUCAAGGCAUCUUGAUUGGUUGAAAACUCCGGUGGUUAAAGAUGGGCAUGCGUUGUAUUAGGUAGUUGGUGAGGUAAUGGCUCACCAAGCCUACGAUACAUAGGGGGACUGAGAGGUUAGCCCCCCACACUGGUACUGAGACACGGACCAGACUCCUACGGGAGGCAGCAGUGAGGAAUAUUGGUCAAUGGGGGCAACCCUGAACCAGCCAUGCCGCGUGCAGGAAGAUGGCUCUAUGAGUUGUAAACUGCUUUUAAACAGGGAUAAAGCACAGUAUGUAUACUGUGUUGAAGGUACUGUAAGAAUAAGGAUCGGCUAACUCCGUGCCAGCCGCCGCCGUAA